Molecule: ribosomal RNA, 450 nt
Filed under: uncultured bacterium
Lineage: Bacteria
Description: partial 16S ribosomal RNA
Rfam family: Bacterial small subunit ribosomal RNA
Source: RNAcentral
CCUACGGGGGGCUGCAGUAAGGAAUAUUGGUCAAUGGACGAAAGUCUGAACCAGCCAUCCCGCGUGCAGGAUGAAAGCCCUAUGGGUUGUAAACUGCUUUUAGCAGAGAAGAAAAGCUUUCAUUAAUGAGAGUCUGACGGUAUCUGCAGAAUAAGCACCGGCUAACUCCGUGCAAGCAGCCGCGGUAAUACGGAGGGUGCGGGCGUUAUCGGGAUUAACGGGGGCGUAGGGGUAGGUAGGAGGCGUAGGUGAAAUCUUGUCGCUUAACGAUGAAAUUGCCAAUGAUACUGGUACUCUUGAAUUGGGUUGAGGUUAGCGGAAUGUGACAUGUAGCGGUGAAAUGCAUAGAUAUGUCAUGGAACACCAAUUGCGAAGGCAGCUAACUGGGCCUUGAUUGACGCUGAGGCACGAAAGCGUGGGUAGCGAACAGGAUUAGAUACCCUUGUAGUC